RNAcentral lists this ribosomal RNA (892 nucleotides) under uncultured archaeon. RNAcentral's name for it is "bacterial SSU rRNA". It matches the Rfam family "Archaeal small subunit ribosomal RNA", at positions 26 to 893 of the family's 1478-position model. The record is from RNAcentral.
ACUGCUAUCGGGGUGGGACUAAGACAUGCAAGUUGAGCGUCUCUAGGCUAUGGUAGAGACGCGGCAUACGGCUCAGUAGCACGUGGCCAACCUACCCUUAGGACGGGGACAACCCCGGGAAACUGGGACUAAUAUCCGAUAGAUUAGGAGGCCUGGAAUGGUUCUUAGUCGAAAGGGCUUUGAAACCAUGCUUUUCAACGUCGCCUAAGGAUGGGGCCGCGCCCGAUCAGGCUGUUGGUGGGGUAAUGGCUCACCAAACCUAUAACCGGUGCGGGCCGUGAGAGCGGGAGCCCGGAGAUGGGCACUGAGAUAAGGGCCCAGGCCCUACGGGGCGCAGCAGUCGCGAAAACUCCGCAAUGCGCGAAAGCGUGACGGGGCUACCCCGAGUGCCGUCCGCUGAGGAUGGCUUUUCCCCGGUGUAAUGAGCCGGGGGAAUAAGGAGAGGGCAAGUCUGGUGUCAGCCGCCGCGGUAAUACCAGCUCUCCGAGUGGUAGGGACGAUUAUUGGGCUUAAAGCGUCCGUAGCCGGCUUAGCAAGUCUCCUGUUAAAUUCAGCGACCUAAUCGUUGAGCCGCGGGAGAUACUACUAGGCUAGGAGGCGGGAGAGGCCGACGGUAUUCUCGGGGUAGGGGUGAAAUCCUAUAAUCCCGGGAGGACCACCAGUGGCGAAGGCUGUCGGCUAGGACGCGCUCGACGGUGAGGGACGAAAGCUGGGGGAGCGAACCGGAUUAGAUACCCGGGUAGUCCCAGCUGUAAACGAUGCGGGCUAGGUGUUGGGGUGGCUACGAGCCACUUCAGUGCCGCAGGGAAGCCAUUAAGCCCGCCGCCUGGGGAGUACGGCCGCAAGGCUGUAACUUAUAGGAAUUGGCGGGGGAGCACCACAAGGCGUGAAG